CCCCCGGAGGCCCUGUGCAGGCUUCUGGACCUCCCUGAGCUGGCCCAGAACAUCCGGCCUUGGCUACACCCUGAAAAGCCUCUGGCCCUGCUCUCCAGGGGCCUGUGCCCCUCCCGUGCCAGUGAACCUUGUGCUGCUGGGGCCCCACCUCUUGGUAGAGGAGCUCAGCUUCCCAGGAGCCUCCUGAGGAGGGAUGGCAGCUGUGGCAGGUCCCAGCCAACCAGCAGCAUCAACCACCAUGCAUGUGAGUGAGGAGACUUUCCAGAUGACUCUAGGCCCAGCCAACAUCUGACGGCAGCUACAUGGAGGACCCUGAUGAGAACCACCUGGCUGAGCCUGGCCAACCCUGAGAAGUGCAAGAGAGAAUAAUAAAGUGAUUAGCAUUGUUUCCAGCCACUACGAGUUGAGGCCAUGGUUACACAGUGACGGAUCAGCAGAACACCCAGGGGCAAUGAGGAUGGUCUUGGGCUUCUCUGCUAUUGAAAGAUGGAAGUACUGCCUCUUCCCAAACUGUCCUUCUCAGGUUCUGAAAAUGUAACAUCUGGGUGGUUGAAUCUCUCGAAGCAGGAUUUGAAAGUGGGAACUCCAGUUUUCAGAAGUGGGAAGACUGCUCUCUUACGUUCCCAAGGAAGUUCUUCUCUCGAACAUUUCUACUGAGAGAGGUAGUUAUGACGUCGUGGAAAGAUCAUGAGUGAAAUGUCAGGUAGACCCAGUGUCUUAGUCUGCUCGGGAUCCCACAUAAAAGUACCAGAGAUUGAGUGGCUUAUUAACAACAAACAUUUAUUGCUCACAGUUCUGGAGGCUGGGAAGUCCAAGACCAUGGCCCUGGCAGAUGUGUUGCCUGGUGACGGCCCGCCUCUGGUUCACAGCCAGUGCCUUCUAUUUGUAAUCUCACAUGGUGGAAGGGACAGGUUUCAUCAGGGCACUAACCCUGUCACGAGGCUCUGUCCUCAUGACCUAAUGAUUUCCCUGAGACUCCAUUUCCUAAUACCCUACCCUGGGGGGACGUAAACAUCCAGACCACGGCACCCAGGUGCAAAUUUCAAUUCUGCCGCCUCCCGGCACUCUUGUCCUAGAGUCAGUCCCUUUACUUCUCUGUGUUUCAGGAGCCUCCGCUACAAAAUGGGAAAGCUCACAGCUACCUUAGUGGAUUGGCAUGACAAUCCGAGAUUCUUUAAACCAGUCUCACCCUACAAAAAGGAUUUGAGGCAGAUUCUGGGGAUGAUCUAUGUAAACUGCCUUGUGUGAGCGAUAACGAAUGAUGUUCGUCAAAUGCUUCCUGUCAGGAAAAAUGUUAAGCGCUUUGCUCACGUUAACUUUUUUGAUAGUCGCAAUAACGUCGUGAGUUAAGUAUCACUAUUAUCUGCGUUUUACGGAUGGGGGAAACCAAGGCACAGAGAGAUUACGUAACUCUCCCACACAGUAGGUAGCAGAGCUGGAAUUUGAACCCAGGAAGUUUGACCCUACAGCUGACUAGGCCACACUGUCUCUCGGUAAAUGGUUAACUCUGGGUUAGAGGUGCUGAUGGCAUAAGUGUCCAGUCCAUCGUCUUCCUGAAGAACCCGUCUGAAGAGAUCCAGUGCUUGAACCAAAGUGAUAUCAAUGGUGAGAUGCCCAGCGCUGGGGUGUGCUAAUAGGGAAGACACGGUGUGUGUGAAAGUCACGCCCGGUGGCCCUGGGCUGCUGGGGGUGGUGGGGUGACAGACCAGGAGAGAAGGGAACAGCUGAGGAAGAGGACAUUUUCAGUAUCAGGACAGAAACAUCCAUCUGGAGCCCUCGCCGGGCAGUCAGGGUGCCGUGAAGGUGGGGAAGAGGGGGCGGAGUCAUCCUGGAGAGACUGAGGAAGUGAGGCUGGUGGGCGUGUCAAGGACACUUGACAUUGAGACUGGCCCUUUUACUUAGGCCGUGGGACCCUCAGUGAGUCACCUGCCCUCAUCUCUAAAGUGUUGAUAAAUUUUGCAGCUCCCAAAUGAGAGCAUGUGUACAAAAUGUUCAGGAAACUGGAAAUGGAAGCUACCACUUGGUAUUCUAGUUAGCAAAAGGUGUCUUCUUUUAAGCUUCCUAAAAUAAAUUUUAUCUGUUUUGGAGGACAACUAACUUAAAAUGAAUAAGGUGCUUCCUUAACUUCUUUUUUUUUUUUUUUAAACUUCUUAAACGAGUCAUUUGAAUAUCAUUUAACUAACUUUUCUUCGUGACUCAAGUUUAAUCAUUAUGGACACCCGUUUCCAUAUUGAGCUGCACAGCGAUGCCGGGCUUAGAGGGCGCGUCCUGUCUGGGUGUGGCUCUGUGCCCCUGCCGGAUGGCCCUGGGCUGCUGGGCUUUUGGAGUUCUGCUGAUAGCCCUGGAUAGGUCAUCAGCCUCAUCCCUUACUAUGGCCAUCAGCUGUCACCUCUCCGUGCUGUCAGAAUGUCGGCCCAAAGCCGGUUAAUGACACUUUGACUUGUGCUCCUAAUCUGUUGUGAUUUACAAACCAGAUGCCCACAGUUAUUACAAAUGUUCAUAAAAGCAGGGAUUCCUAAGUGCAGGGUACCGAGGGGUUCAACUCAGGGUAAAGUGUGUGGGCAUUAGCGCACGGGAGUUUAUGACAUCAAUCUUGACUAUUCUGAGACACUUGAUGCUCCCUUUGUGAAUUCCAACGGCUCCAGAUGCUCCAGGUCAGCGAGGUGUUACUGUAGCUAGUGACCUGUCAGUGACUCUCUUUGAUUUAGUUCUCUAUUGUUAUUAUUAUUAUUUUUUAAAAUAUAGAACUCUUUCUUUUCCUUCCUGCAA
Molecule: long non-coding RNA, 2769 nt
Organism: Aethalodelphis obliquidens (Pacific white-sided dolphin)
Lineage: Eukaryota; Metazoa; Chordata; Mammalia; Artiodactyla; Delphinidae
Exons: 2
Source: RefSeq, a predicted model, not a curated record